Long non-coding RNA from Dreissena polymorpha, 1319 nucleotides. RefSeq lists it as uncharacterized. The record is from RefSeq and is a predicted model, not a curated record. NCBI's taxonomy places the organism in Eukaryota, Metazoa, Mollusca, Bivalvia, Myida, Dreissenidae. The transcript has 4 exons.
UCAGUUUCUAGCUAACAUACACUUUACUGCUGUACGAAAUGUGUUUUUUUUUUAAUGAAACAAAAUAUAUUUCUAAUAAAGUAUUUAAAGAUGUGCAAUAUUUGGCAAAUAUGUGUACGCAUUUUGUUUUGCCCUUUGCUACGAUCAUCAUACAUGGGCUUGUUCAAUACUGUGUUCUGGAUUCAGUCACAAUGGCACACUAAUAACGAUAUAGCACCGCGAACACCGCACUACAGUAUUCAUAUAAAAUAUCGGUUCGCUAGCGGAGAAGAGGGAGCAGUUCAAAUAGCCUCUUACAACUAGCCAGUUACGUGGAAAUAUUCGUCAGUAACUUCUUACAAGGAGAACUUCAGCGAAGUACAAGAACAGCGACUGCAGGUAUGGCGGUUUUAAGUGUGGGCGAGGCUCCAGGGAUUAGACUGCGAGUAGACGUUCGUGUGUGCCUGCUUGUGUGCGCCGCAGCCAUCUGGUCUACUACGAUCGCAACCGAAACAGAACAACCAAUACAUAAUACCGGAUUGCGAACACUCUGGGACAAGGUCGUCCUGCCAAGAUUAGAGCUAUAUAUUAAGACGCGACUGACUCAACCCUAUAGUGGAACGAAUGUGAUUGGAAGUCCGUUUCAAAUAUUUGACAAACACAGUAUCAAUCCAAGCCGACAAAAACGGAAAAAUUUUAUGGGCAUGGACACAAUGGAUCUUGUAUUCGGCUCCCUUGAUAAGCCUCGCCUACCGAUGUCCGUCAGUCAGUUGCAAGUUGGAGAUAUGCAGAGCAUGCUUAGAAGCAUAGGACGUAAACGAUAAAACAACGUCUAGAGCUUCGCAACGAUCUGCAUGGCUGAUGAAUUUACUUAAGCAUAAACAGACGGAAUGCGAACCGUUUAAAACUGAUAAAUAUGUUCAUAAACAAAUCGUGAUUACAUUUAUAUUAAAUGUUAUGUUUGAUAACGCGAAAUUAAAGACAUAUUUACUAAAUGUAUUUUACCAGUUUACAUAUCUGUUUCUGUUUCUAACGAAGACGUUGAAUCAUGUUGUUUCACUUCGAAUGUAAUACAAACUUCUGACAUCAUUUGUUUGACUCUAUAUUUACAAUAUGUGUAAGUAACAGCGACUGAGAUUAUUUCUUAUUCACUUAUUUCAACAGUGUUUCUAUUAUCUAUUAGAAAAGACAAAAUACUUCCGAUAUAACGCUGGAUUUGGCUUAUCUUAGUGUGGACGUAAGCAGUUGCUGAUGAAGUCUGUAUAUAACAGUAAACUCACCUGUACUAAAGUAGUAGUUCAUAAAAUUGUGCAUUGUCGAAAUAAAACAAGAACUUUGAA